UACAGAGGGUGCAAGCGUUAAUCGGAAUUACUGGGCGUAAAGCGCGCGUAGGUGGUUCGUUAAGUUGGAUGUGAAAUCCCCGGGCUCAACCUGGGAACUGCAUUCAAAACUGACGAGCUAGAGUAUGGUAGAGGGUGGUGGAAUUUCCUGUGUAGCGGUGAAAUGCGUAGAUAUCGUGAGGAACACCAGAGGCGAAGGCGGUUUCCUGGACAGUUACUGACGCUGAGACGCGAAAGCGUGGGGAGCGAACAGG
This 253-nucleotide ribosomal RNA is filed under the name uncultured bacterium. Its description in RNAcentral is "partial 16S ribosomal RNA". It matches the Rfam family "Bacterial small subunit ribosomal RNA", at positions 524 to 776 of the family's 1533-position model. The record is from RNAcentral.